This 440-nucleotide ribosomal RNA is filed under the name uncultured bacterium. RNAcentral's name for it is "partial 16S ribosomal RNA". It matches the Rfam family "Bacterial small subunit ribosomal RNA", at positions 338 to 795 of the family's 1533-position model. The record is from RNAcentral.
CCUACGGGAGUCUGCAGUGGGGAAUAUUGGACAAUGGGGGAAACCCUGAUCCAGCGACGCCGCGUGAGUGAAGAAGUAUUUCGGUACGUAAAGCUCUAUCAGCAGGAAAGAAAAUGACGGUACCUGACUAAGAAGCCCCGGCUAACUACUUGCCCGCAGCCGCGGUAAUACGUAGGUGGCAAGCGUUAUCCGGAUUUCCUGGGUGUAAAUGGAGCGUAGACGGCAGCGCAAUUCUGGAGUGAAAUGCCGGGGCCCAAGGCCGGCACUGCUCUGGAAACUGUGAAGCUGGAGUGCAGGAGAGGUAAGCGGAAUUCCUGGUGUAGCGGUGAAAGGCGUAGGUAUCAGGAGGAAAACCGGCGGCGAAGGCGGCUUACUGGACUGUAACUGACGUUGAGGCUCGAAGGCGUGGGGAGCAAACAGGAUUAGAUACCCCAGUAGUC